This is an RNA transcript of Myxocyprinus asiaticus (Chinese sucker), 8512 nucleotides long. RefSeq lists it as uncharacterized. The record is from RefSeq and is a predicted model, not a curated record. Lineage: Eukaryota; Metazoa; Chordata; Actinopteri; Cypriniformes; Catostomidae. The transcript has 15 exons.
CUGCAUGGUCCACAAAAGAGAGUGGUAUCGGUGGUCGAUUUGUGGUGCUGAGAUGAAGUUGGCUACAAUUAUAUAACCUACUGUAUGUCAGAAUACACAAAAUAGUGAAACAAUGAAUUUCAACGCCAAUCUCUUAUCAGUGAUCCUUCUACUGAUGAACAUUACAGGAUCUCAAACAUUUGACCAUUUCCCUGUGACCUGUGAGAAUCAAAACAUUUGUGCUUUGAGUGAGACUCAAGUGACACUGAAGUGCUCUUAUUCAAACAUUAACAUCAAACAUGUGUUCUGGUUCAGUCAGAAACAGAGUACAAACUGGAGAAACAAAGAUGAACCUGAAGAUUUGACUGUAGACUCUUAUUACUCAGGACGAGUGAAACAUCAGAUCACAAACACACAUUCAACACUCACAAUAACAGACUUGAGACUGAGAGACUCUGGACAAUAUCACCUCAUGUUCAUUAUGAAGGAUGGAGUUAAACAUCUCAGCUCAUCAGCAGUCAAUCUGACAGUCACAGUCCUGCAGGUGAAAAUUAAUUAUCAAUCAACAGAGCAGAGAAAUCAGAGAGUACUUGAACUGACCUGUGAUACUUCCUGCACUUUGACCUCCAGACCUCAGAAUUACUACUGGAAACUAAAUGGGCAAUAUAUUAAAAAUAAUCAUUCCAGAAGCAUCAAUGUGUCAUCCAGUGAAGAUCCUGUCAGCUACUCCUGUUUUCUUACUCCUGACCUUAAAAAUACCUCCUCUCCCGUGUGCAUUUCUAAGAGUAACUGCUGGAAUGUGACUUACACCUCUAGAAGAGUCUGUGCUUUGGUGGGCUCAACAGUAGACAUUUCCUCUUCAUACUCACAUCCCACUGGUUAUACAGUAGAAGGAACAUUCUGGCAUUACGUUCGGCCUGGGGAUUUCCUGGACCUGCGUAAAGAGUCGUGGUUUGUUGGUCGUGUGGAGUAUGUGGGAAACACACUGAGAAUCAAAGAUGUAAAGAUGAGCGACUCUGGAGAAUAUAAAUUCAGGAUCAUCACUGAUAGGAACCCUUACUCUGGUUCACCUGGAGUUAUUCUUACUGUAACAGAUACACAGAAGACAAGCAGCCCAGACACUGUAUCAGAGGGAGAGAAAGUGAUAUUAAGCUGUUCAACCAAAUGCACCCUGAAUAACAAUCAUACUUAUAUUUGGUACAAGAAUGGACAACAGGUAACAGAUGGAGUCACAAAAUUAAACAAGUUGUAUCUGGACUCAGUCAGCAGAGAGGAGCUGCAAGAAUAUUCCUGUGAUGUAGGAGGAAUCCAGGGACCUACAAACCCAGAGAACACCACAGCAAUAUUGAGCACUAUAAUCAUACUGUCUGUGUUUCUGAUUCUUGCACUUAUUGGAGUCCUGUGCUAUAGGAGGAGGAAGGAUAAUCCAUCUCAAAACUGUGAGGAUGCAAAAGAGGGUUUAAAGUCUGAUUUUGCUACAGUGGAUUACACUGCACCGUUGUCUACAAUCUAUGACUCCACGCAGCAAACUAACGUGAAGGAUGAGGACAUUCAUUAUUCAACAGGCUUUCAAACAGGAUACCGUUCAGACCAUUUCCUUGUGACCUGUGAUGAACAGAAUAUUUGUGCUUUGAACGGGAAUCAGAUGACACUGAAUUGCUCUUACUCAAACAUGAACAUCAAAACUGUGUUCUGGUUCAGUCAGAAACAGAGAAACAACUGAAGAAACAAGGAAGAACCUGAAAAUUUUACUUUAGACUCUGAAUUCUUAGGAUGAGUGAAACAGCAGAUCACUAACAUACAUUCAACACUCACAAUUUUAGACCUGAGACUGAGAAACUCUGGAGAAUAUCACCUCAUGUUCAUUAUAAAGGAUGGAGAUACAUUUAUUAUCUCUCCAGCAGUCAGUCUGACAGUCACAAGGAAAUAUGGAUAUUCUGACCUCAGAAGUACUACUGGAAACAAAAUGGGCGAUCUUUAAAAGAUAUUAAUUCCAGAAGCAUCAACGUGCCAUCCAGUGGAGAUACUGUCUGCUACUCUUGUGUUCUUACUUCUGACCACAGAAAUUACUCCUCUCCCAAGUACAUUUCUAAUAGUAGCUGCUGGAAUGUGAUUUACACCUCUAGAAGAGUCUGUGCUUUGGUGGGCUCAACAGUAGACAUUUCCUCUUCAUACUCACAUCCCAGUGAUUAUACAAUAAAUAAAACAUUCUGAUAUUACAUUCGUCCUGGCAUUACGGAAAUCCUGGACCUGCGUAAAGAGUCGUGGUUUGUUGGUUGUGUGGAGUAUGUGGGGAACACACUGAGAAUCAAAGAUGUCAAAAUGAGCGACUCUGGAGAAUAUAAAUUCAGGAUCAUCACUAAUAGAAACUCUUACAAUGGUUCACCUGUCAUUCUGUCUGUCACAGAUACACAGGUGACAAGCAGCCCGGCCACUGUAUCAGAGGAAGAGAAAGUGAUAUUAAGCUGUUCAACCAAAUGCGCUCUGAAUAACAAUCAUACUUACAUCUGGUCCAAGAAUGGACAACAGGUAACAGAUGGAGUCACAAAAUUAAACAAGUUGUACCUGGACUCAGUCAGCAGAGAGGAGCUGCAUGAGUAUUCCUGUGCUGUAAGAGACUUUCUGACUGUAAAUUGUGGUAUUUGAACUCAGGGACAGAGACAGAAAUUAUGAGUUCAGAUGGUUAACAAUGGCAACAGGAGGAAUUCAACCAUACAUGUUUGAGCCAGAGUCUGAUCCCGAAUCUGAAGAAAAUGAACCUCCUCCACAAACACCACGGAUACUGCUGUCUGUGACAGUGUGGCUUUCCAACAGGACACAGGCCACUGGACCAUUUCCCUGUGACCUGUGAGAAACAGAACAUUUGUGCUUUGAGUGAGACUCAAAUGACACUGAAGUGCUCUUAUUCAAACAUUAACAUCAAAUAUGUGUUCUGGUAUCUACAGAGCAGAGAAAUGAAAUAGAACUGACCUGUGAUACUUCCUGCAAUAUGCCAUUCUCACUACUACUGGAAGCACAAUAGGCAAUAUUUAGGUGUUAGUUACAAAAGCAUUGUUUUUCCAUACAAUAAAGAUGCUGGCAGCUACAUCAGCUCCCUUACUGAAGACUAUAAAUAUCCAUCCUCUCCUGUAUGUGAUUGGUUCAAAUACUCACUGUGGAGCUCUGUGGAUGUGGUAAGUAAAAACAUCUUGCUCUAAUAGAAACUGCAUCACAGUGGGGAAACUUAAUUAAAAUUGACAAAUCUGAAAUACAUGGUCCCACAGGUUUUUUUCUCAGCAUAAGAAAAAAACAGAUCUCAUCUAAAAAAGUGAAUUUAGAUGGAAAUUAAGAGGUGAGAAGUUCCGACUAUGGGGAUUCACUAUAAUAUGAUAAAUGCGGAUAGCUAAAAUGGUAUUAAGUCAGUAUUUGGAAGUCAGUACUGAUACUUAAUCCUCAUUCUGGCUGGGGUUUGUCCUAAACGCCUAACCGCAAGUAUUAAACUGUACAGUCAUGUACAGACUCCAUUCGACAUAUUUUUUGAAAUUUACUUUAAAAUGUAAUCGACAUUGAUGACAUUAUCAUAAUCUUGCAUAGUGAACUGUGAUUGGUCUUUUAUUUUUUCAUAUAUUUAACCAUCGAUAUCUGGCUUGACACAGCAAAGAGUGCCAUGACAACAACAAAGCGGCUCUGAUGCAACAUUUCAUAAACAAUGAACCAAAGCCUAAAACGUAACUUAUUUUGCUGCCUUACAAACACUAGUAUUUCUUUCAUGAAAAGCAGUCUAUAGAAGUUAUCCGUUUCUCCUUGAUCUUACAAUCUAGUGUCCAAAAUCUGUCAUUUAAAAGCCAAAACAUGGACAAAGAUGAAAAUGAGUAAUUCUAAAUGUAAAGAAUCCACUAUAAUACAAUCAAUGCAUGACAAUUUUUUUUUUUUUUAAUUUUUUUUUUUUUAUAUUAAAUGUUCUCUAUCUAUUUGUCUGUAUCUUCUAGAGUGAGCUGUUCCCUAUUUUCUUCUAGGAAUGCCAUCUCUGGUGGAGUGAUGUCUUAAUGUGAGAGGUCUAAAGUCUCCUAUCACAGUCACAACUCUAAUUUUAAAGGGAUGGUUCACCCAAAAAUGAAAGUUCUCUCAUUAUUUACUCACCCUCAUGCCAUCCUAGAUAUGUAUGACUUUCUUUUGCUGAACACAUAUGAAGAUUUUUAGAAGAACAACUCUUUUAAGUCCACACAAUGCAAGUGAAUGGUGGACAGAACUUUGAAGGUUCAAAAAGCACAUAAAUGAAGCCUAAAAGUAACAUAUACGACUCCAGUUGUUUAACCUAUUGUCUUCAGAAGCGAUAUGAUGGGUGUGGGUGAGCAACAGAUGAAUAUUUCGUUAUUUGUUUCAUGUAAAUAUACUUUCACCAGCCCUCCUACUGUACGCACAUUCACGAGAAUUCUUCUUCUGUUUUUUUGCCAAUUCGCAUUCUUCGUGCAUAUUGUCAUCUACUGGGCUGUUGAACAAAUAAUUUAGUUAUUCUUUUCCUUUGCUUUAUCCCUCCCUUUUAUUCUUUCUCCUCCCUGCCAGUAGGUGGCAUUAUGCACGAAGAAUGUGAAUCGGCAAAAAAUAGAAAGACAAAAACUCGUGAACAUGCAUAGAAGGCCGGUGAAAGUACAUUUAUAGUAAAAAAAAAAAAAAAAAAAGACUUAAAUAUUGAUCCGUUUCUCACCCACACCUAUCAUAUCACUUCUGAAGGCAUGGAUUUAACCACUGGGGCCAUAUGGAUUAUUUUUAUGCUACUGUCAAUGAUAUUGACCUUCAAAGUGUUGGCCACAAUUCACUUGCAUUGUAUGAACCAACAGAGCUGAGAUAUUCUUCUAAACAUUUGUUUGUGUUCCGAAGAAAAAAAAGUCAUUCACAUCUGGGAUUACAAAUUAUGUUGCUGCAUCAGUAUAUAAUGGAAAGAAAUUCAUUUCUCCAAUCUUGAUACACUUUGUGUCCAGAAAAAAAAGAAUUUUCUUUAAAGUGUGCGUUUAGCCUCGUUGUACAUUUCUCUCAGAGAACUCAAUAGUAUCUAAUAACAAGGGUUAGUUAUAGAUAAGUUUCCCAUGGUGUAAGCCCCAUCCGACAGUUCAGCAUUAGGAUUCUCACUCGAACCAUCAGAUCCUGCCGGAAGGUGAUGAAGGCAGGGAAGAGGAACUUGCCCCAAAAAGGAAAUUAGACCUAAUUUAGACUUAUAACCACCAAAAGGAAUUAGAACCCAAUUAAAAAAUCCCCCAAAGGAGACCUACUAAUAGUUCAACUUAGAACGACCAGGUCUCAAUGUGAAGGAACCUGAAAGAAGCAGAAUAUUUGUAAAUUACAUUAAUAUAACUGUAUAUGACGCAAACAUGAAAACCUUACAAACUGCAGAAUAAUGCCAUUCCUGCUAAAAGAUGACUAGCAUUGUGAAAUGGCAUAGCUUGUGAUGUGUAUGUGCAAAUGGACUGCCCAUGGAAUGGGUGGCAUUGCUUUGUGACAUGUCUGAAACAAACUGGCUAUGAAUUGGCUGUGAUAUGUCUGUGCAAACAGACUGGCCGUGAAUUGGUUGCGAUGUGCCUGUGUUGCAGACUGGCCGUGAAUUGGUUGCAAUGUGUCUGUGUGAACAGACUAGCCUUGAAACUGUUGUGAUGCGUAUGUGAAACACAAUAUGUCUGUGAAACAGACUGCCCAUGAAAUGGGAAGCAAUGCUUGCAAUGUGCCUCAGCAAACAGUGUACCCACGCAAAGUUGUGGCAAGCUGUAAUAUGCUGAAUACAUAAAUGUUGACUGAUAAAGACGAUUAUGUAAUUAGACAUUAUUGGGGCAAUUUAACCACCAAUGCAAAUACCUACACUGGUACAUUGAAAUGACCCUUUAUUAAAAGGAAACAUUGCAUAAUUGCAAUACAUGGUUGGUACAUCCCAUUUGAUUUGAUACUACAAACUGAUACAUAUACAAGCUUUGAAUUACAGUUGAUCUCAAUGGACCAGACAAACUCAUUGGUGGUGGCGGUUGUGUAUCUUCCACCGAAAUUUAUCAAAGACUUUAUUACUGAGUUCUCAGAUUUUUUAGGGGUUACCACUCCUAAAUAUGACAGACCUUUAAAUGUUGGUGACUUUAAUAUUCAUGUCUGUUGUGCCUCUAAUGCAUUAGCCAAAGACUUUGUCAGUCUUAUUGAUGUCUUUGAUUGUGAACAAUUGGUGAAAGAACCAACGCACUCACAUGGCCAUAUUUUUGAUCUGGUUCUGUCCCAUGGCCUGUCUAUUUCUGACAUUCAAAUAGGGUAUUUAAUUUUUCAGACCACAAGCCGGUAACUUUCACUGUUCCUCUUGUUCAUCAUGAUACUAAAAUCAUUAGACCUACACGAUGGACAUGAAGAAUUGGUCCAACAUCUGGGGAGGAAUUUGAUGUAGCAUUUAGUGAAAUAUCAUAAAAAUAAAUUUGAACCAUGGUUAAAUAGCAGUACUUGGUUAUUAAGACAAGCUUGCAGGAGGGCAGAACAUAGAUGGAAAAGGGAAAAGUUACAAGUGUCUUUUGAAAUCUUACGGGAAUCUCUAAUUAAAUAUCAAAAAGCAGUGAAAGCUGCGAAGUCAAAUUACUUUUCUGACAUAAUAUCUAAUAACUCAAAUAGACCCAGGACACUGUUUAAUAACUUAAAUUCUAUCAUAAAUCCUAUAGGUAAUACAUAUCCUGCUGAGUCUUCCACACUAUGUGAACAUUUUCUGAAUUCUUUGUGGAUAAAAUAGCAGUGAUUAGACAGUCGUUUGUGCCUUCAACAGAUGAUCCUUUGGAUCCUCCCAGCUGCACCAUGCUCUUAAAUACAUUGGAGCCGAUCUCUAUGUCCUUCUUAAUGAACAUAGUUGCUCAGUUGAAGCCCACCACCUCUUCCCUUGAUAUUGUUCCUACGUACUUUUUUAAACAGAUAUUUGAUAGUGUUCGGAUGUGGAUCUUAUCAGUAGUAAAUAACAGUCUUUUAUCUGGGUCUGUUCCAGUGUAUUUUAAACAUGCCUUGGUGAAACCAUUACUGAAAAAGCCAAAUUUGGACCCAACAGAUUGGUCUAAAAUGAGAUAAAUCUCAAAUCUACCUUUUUCUGCAAAACUUUUGGAGAAAGUUGUGUUGGAUCAAUUACAGAGUUUCUUGGAAAGAAACAGCAUUUUUGAAAAAUUUCAGUCUGGUUUUCGGAAAAAACAGUUCUGAAUCGACUCUCCUAAGGGUUUUAAAUUACAUCUUGCUAUCCAUUGAUACUGGGGAUUCUGCAAUUUUAUUGUUAUUAGAUUUGAGUGCAGCGUUUGACACUGUUGACCAUGGCAUUCUUAUGUCACACUUGGAACACUGUGUGGGUAUCCGAGGAAGUGCCCUUUGUUGGUUCAAUUCUUAUCUUAGCGAUAGAACUUUUUCCGUAGGUAUUGGAUGUUCUGUUUCUUCUGUAGCUCCCAUUACUUGUGGUGUCCCUCAAGACUCUAUUCUUGCUCCCACUCUUUUCUCCCUUUAUAUGAUCCCUCGAGUCAAUUUUAAGGAAGCAUGGAGUGGCUUUACAUUUUUAUGCAGAUGACACCCAAAUUUAUCUGCUGAUGAAACAAAAUGACAAGAAAGGUCUGGAAACCCUGCUUGCAAGUCUGGCCGAUAUUAGAUCUUGGAUGUCAUCGAACUUCUUAAACUUAAAUGAGAGCAAAACGAAAGUUGUUGUGUUUGGGCCCACUGUGGUUAAAGGUAAUACAAACCUUAAUCUUGGCAAUCUGACAUCUUACAUCAAACCAGCUUUCAAAAACUUGGGAGUGAUUUUUGAUUCUUCCCUCAAGUUUGAUCAACAUAUUAGUUCAGUGGUUAAGUCAAGUUUUCAUCUGAAACUUCUGGCCAAAGUUAGGUCUUUUAUCUUUUAAAGACCUUGAGAGAGUUAUCCAUGUUUUCAUUUUGUCCCGCUUGGAUUAUUGUAAUUCUUUAUAUACCAGAAUAUCAAAGUCCUCUAUUUUACGGCUUCAAAUGGUCCAAAACACUGCUGCCAGACUUUUAACUGGGGUGCGUAAAUGUUGAGUACAUCACUCUGAUUUUAAGGUCUUUUAAAUUGGUUGCCAGUGUGUUAUAGAAUUUAUAUUAAGGUAUUAUUGUUUGUUUUUAAGUCACUAAAUGGCUUGGCGCCUGUCUAUCUGUCGGACCUGCUAAGCGAAAUAAAGCCUAUCAGAUGUGUACGAUCCGCCGAUCAGAACAUUCUGUCCUUUUCCAGAUCAAGAUUAUAUCUGAGAGGUGACCGUGCAUUUGCGAUUGCUGGCCCUAAGUUAUAGAACAGCCUACCUCUGUCUGUCAGAUCUGCCACCUCCCUACAAGAUUUUAAAUAUAAGUUAAAGUCUUAACUUUUUACUUUGGCUUUUAAUUUAUCAUAAUUUGAUGUUAUUAUUGAUUUUUUUUAUUCUACUUGUUUUAUUUUAAAACCUGGUUCUGUACAGCAAAGUGGUCAAAUUUGUUGUGUUUAUUUGUGCUUUAUAAAUAAAUAAAUGAAAUGAAAUGAUUUAAAAUAUUCUGACUGGCAUCAGUUAUACACUGAUGUGCAGUUGCCUACCGC